RNAcentral lists this ribosomal RNA (496 nucleotides) under uncultured bacterium. RNAcentral describes it as "partial 16S ribosomal RNA". It matches the Rfam family "Bacterial small subunit ribosomal RNA", at positions 29 to 507 of the family's 1533-position model. The record is from RNAcentral.
AUGAACGCUGGCGGCGUGCCUAAUACAUGCAAGUCGAGCGAACAGACGAGGAGCUUGCUCCUCUGACGUUAGCGGCGGACGGGUGAGUAACACGUGGAUAACCUACCUAUAAGACUGGGAUAACUUCGGGAAACCGGAGCUAAUACCGGAUAAUAUAUUGAACCGCAUGGUUCAAUAGUGAAAGACGGUUUUGCUGUCACUUAUAGCUGGAUCCGCGCCGCAUUAGCUAGUUGGUAAGGUAACGGCUUACCAAGGCAACGAUGCGUAGCCGACCUGAGAGGGUGAUCAGCCACACUGGAACUGAGACACGGUCCAGACUCCUACGGGAGGCAGCAGUAGGGAAUCUUCCGCAAUGGGCGAAAGCCUGACGGAGCAACGCCGCGUGAGUGAUGAAGGUCUUCGGAUCGUAAAACUCUGUUAUUAGGGAAGAACAAAUGUGUAAGUAACUAUGCACGUCUUGACGGUACCUAAUCAGAAAGCCACGGCUAACUACGUG